This 455-nucleotide ribosomal RNA is filed under the name Burkholderia cenocepacia. RNAcentral's name for it is "bacterial SSU rRNA". It matches the Rfam family "Bacterial small subunit ribosomal RNA", at positions 1 to 456 of the family's 1533-position model. Lineage: Bacteria; Pseudomonadati; Pseudomonadota; Betaproteobacteria; Burkholderiales; Burkholderiaceae. The record is from RNAcentral.
AAACUGAAGAGUUUGAUCCUGGCUCAGAUUGAACGCUGGCGGCAUGCCUUACACAUGCAAGUCGAACGGCAGCACGGGUGCUUGCACCUGGUGGCGAGUGGCGAACGGGUGAGUAAUACAUCGGAACAUGUCCUGUAGUGGGGGAUAGCCCGGCGAAAGCCGGAUUAAUACCGCAUACGAUCCACGGAUGAAAGCGGGGGACCUUCGGGCCUCGCGCUAUAGGGUUGGCCGAUGGCUGAUUAGCUAGUUGGUGGGGUAAAGGCCUACCAAGGCGACGAUCAGUAGCUGGUCUGAGAGGACGACCAGCCACACUGGGACUGAGACACGGCCCAGACUCCUACGGGAGGCAGCAGUGGGGAAUUUUGGACAAUGGGCGAAAGCCUGAUCCAGCAAUGCCGCGUGUGUGAAGAAGGCCUUCGGGUUGUAAAGCACUUUUGUCCGGAAAGAAAUCCUUG